ACUCAUUCUCUCUCCUGCUACCUUGUGAAGAGGUGCCUUCCACCAUGAUUGUAAGUUUCCUGAGGCUUCCCCAGUCAUGUGGAACUAAAUUAGUUGAUAACGUCUUCCAGGAGACCUACGGCCAUCCUACUGAUAUGAACCAGAUCAUACCUGCCCUGAUGGGAUGCCAGAGAAAGACUGCUGCAAGGUACGCGCCACUCACAGACCUCUCCAUUUAUCUCACUGAUGCAAAGGACCCUGAGUAGGGAUCCUCUGGAAACAGAACAGAGGGAAGAAGAUACCUUCCCUGAAGCCCAGAUGUUCCAGAAGCCUGCGCCUCAUUCACAAAGUCACCCCAAAAAUGCCCUAGAGUUUGGAGUUUUGAAGAAGCGGGAAGAAGGCCUGAGUAAGGGCCUGGGAACCAAGUUAGAUCCUACUUCAGCAUCAGCACAUGCCAGCGAUGGUGCACACAGGUGGAGAGCGGCCUGCCCGUCUUUUCCAUGGUGCCCACAGACCCAUUUAGGAUGAAAGAUCAGAAAAUUCUCUCCAUGUCACCGCUUCUGAAACAUGUGAAUAUUAAUAUUUGGUGCCUAAAAGGCCAUGGCAAAUUUUCAUUGGUUUUAUCUUAUUCAUGAUUAUAGAGUUGAAAGAAUACAUAUUCCCAUGGGGAUCAAUGAAGACAUUCUCAUUUUGAAUGAAGUAGAAUAUAAGUUGUAAAGAUAUAGAAUUUUCCUGAACUGAACCUUGAACCAAAAAUCCCCUCAAUUAACCUGGAACUAAACACAGUCCCUGAAGAUAACAAGGAGUUUCAGGAUGCCACAGGGCUGUCUGUGCAGUAUGGGGCUUCUUGCUCUAUCUCUGGUAUCUGAGGCAGAUAGGCUACUCAGGCCCCUCUCUGGUCUCAAGGUGGGCUGGCUGAGAUGUCAGUUUCUUCCUCAGUGACAGCUUGGGUACAGUAUGUGUAAACUGAUUGUCAGCUGAGCUGAAGGGACUCUGCCCAUAUUGGAGUGUUCUACAAGAAGAGGUGUCAAACCUAAAGGUCUAAAAUUACUAUGAAAGGAGUAUUGGAAACCACUGGGACAAUUGUGAUCACAACUGGUGGUAGCCUUCUCGUUUGGGUGAGAAAGACAGAAAGGAGGAAGAUGUGUUAGUCAAGGUUCUCUAGAGGGACAAAACUAAUAGGAUAUAUGUAUAUAUGAGAGGGAGUUUAUUAAGGAGAAUUGACUCACUUGAUCACAAGGUAAAGUCCCAAGAUAGGCUGUCUGCAAGUUGAGGAGCAAGGAAGUCAUUGGUGGAUUGUUCUGGGUACCAAAACCUCAAAAGUAGGGAAAUCGACAGUGCAGCCUUCAGUCUGUGGUCAAAGGCUCGAGGGGCCCUGGCAGACCACUGGUGUAAGUCCAAGAGUCCCAGAAGCUGAAGAACUUGGAGUCUGAUGUUUGAGGGCAGGAAGCAUCCAGCACAGGAGAAAGACGGAUGCUGGAAGACUUAGCAAGUCUGUUCUUUCCAAUUUCUUCUGCCUGCUUUUAUUCUAGCCAUGCUGGCAGCUGAUUAGAUGGUGCCCUCCCAAAUUGAGGGUGGCUGUGCCUCUCCCAGUCCACUGACUCAAAUGUUAAUCUCCUUUGGCAACACCCUCACAGACACACCCAGGAACAAUACUUUGCAUCCUUCAUUCCAAUCAAGUUGACACUCAAUAUUAACCAUCACAGAAGGAGAAUUUCAGGCUGAGUCCAAACACUAUGGCCCCAGCCCCAGCUUCCCCUUUCUGGGUUGAAUAACCAGACUGAGCCUAAGAAAAGGAAAAGAGUUGACUUUCUCCCAAAAGGCCUGCAGCGGGUUAGAAAGCAAUGGUUUGGGGACCAUACUGAGUGCCUAGGAUGCUCUGGACCACAAAGCUUGAAGUCAAAUUGUUCAUGCACUUGUUUCAUGAUAGGAAGAGAGAGAGAGAGAGAGAGAGAGAGAGAGAAAUUUCCUUUCCUUGAAGAAUGGCAAAACACGUCUCUUGUUCUGGGGGCUAUAUCUUGAAGGGUAUCUGAUCUCCCCCUCAUGGGAGGAACUAGAAUGCCCUAAGGCAGCCGUGGCUCCUGGAGCUGAGAGAUCUUUCUGACACUUUGUGAGAGCUGCAAGGCUAAGUCUGGAGCCAGAAAAGUCCAUGUGGACAAGUGCAGAGCAAGCAGAUCUGAGACACAUGUGGGAGCAAGCUGGACAUGUCCAAAAGUCAGAGGAAGCAAGAGCAGACAUGCAUGAGCAGGCAGAUGAGGCUGGUGCCCAGGCAGCAGGCUGAGGCUCUGGCUGGGCUUUGGAUGCUCCUGAGAGUCCAGUUAGAGACCAGUGAGCAAACCCACAGUGAACUCUUAUUCCUCACGCAGCAGGACGAGGGAUUAAGCACAAAGCCUUAAAGGUCUGAGUGUCUCUUUAUCCUGACCUCAGGAAAGAGAGGCAAGUAUCAUGUUUCUAAAAGUCUGAGAAGUCUUCACAUGACAGCCUACACCAAAAGAACUCAAAUGCACAUCCACUGCAUACACGCAUGUGUGCACACAUAUACAUGUGUACACAUGCAUGCCCACACACAACCCUCUGGAAGAGGAAGUAAAGAGACUUUAUGUUUUCAGCCCCUCUUGAGGAAACUUAAACUAAGUCUUUCUGUGGGGUUAGUGGUGGAGACAGAGAGGGUCUGGGGUCACCGAGGCCGAGGUGGCUGGACCCAGAGGGUAGAGCUGAGGGGAUCCCCUGAGACUGGGAAGAUGGAGCAGAAGCAGAUGGCAGAUGGCAGCAGGUGAGAGCAGACUGGAUUUCUCCUAAAUCACCAGAUCCAGCCAACCUUUCUUUCCUUAGGGACACCUCUAGAUCCCAUUCCAAAUGAACUCUUUCUCUGACCUUUCACCUCAAUUCAGAAUUUGGGAAAUUUAGCCAUGAUCUUAGGAACACAGAGGCUUGAAACAAUCUUUUCUAACCACCCGUUUGUUCAGACUGUGUAAGUUCUGCUUCUGCAUCCAGUGUCAACACCCAAGAACCAUUUUAAAGGGGAGCCAUCCUUUGAAAUUAAACUUCUUUUAAUAAUAAAGACAGAUUUCAGGGUUGACAUAAAAGAUAGCCACAGUAAAGCCAAUCCUCCAGUGUAUAACAUUUUUCAAAGUUUCCUUCCUCUUCAUUGCUGGUGUUCAUGUACAGUCCAGAGUUAGUCUACAUUAAAUUAUAGAUUGUUUUCAGCAAUAAUGCAAACAUUUGGAAGCCUUCAAACUCUCUGAUAACUAACUUCUACAUUCUCUCUGCUAUUAUUAUAUAGAAAGGGAAAUUUUACCUGAUGCUGUUAAAGUCCUCACGAACAUAGUGAUCCGAAUUGGCUGAAGUGGAAAACUAAAUGUUAGCUGAUUUUCAAAACAAGAUUUCCACUCUGAAUUCCCAUUUUUCACAUGUGAUCAUAUGCCUUGUUGUGAAGUUGAACUAAAAAGAAACUCCAUGCCCACUGGCUUAAUGCUAGAAGAUAAUCUACAGCAUAGUAAUUUCUUAGACUUCACUUUAUUAGCCACUAAACUUGGAAUGAUUAUUUCUAUGUUCAAUUAUUAAGUCUAUAUCUCCAUUUCUUAAAAAGGUCUGAGGCAGCCCCUUUGAAUAUUAAUACGCAUUUAUUUUCACCUCUCAAAUAAAAAAAUAGUUCACAGU
This 3639-nucleotide long non-coding RNA is filed under the name Homo sapiens (human). RNAcentral describes it as "HSALNT0327269". Lineage: Eukaryota; Metazoa; Chordata; Mammalia; Primates; Hominidae. The record is from RNAcentral.